AGAUGUGGAGGGAAGAUCAAGAGGGUCAAUAAACACUUUUAAAUCUUAGUUUUUAAUAGCAAACUCAUUGAAGCAACCUAAAUUAUUCCAUUGUAUAUAUGUACCACAUCUUUAGAUAAUGUCUUACUGUCGAUCAUCUAUGCCUGGGCAAGUUGAAUGAUAAAGCCAGGAGAAGGCAUGAUGUCUAAUCAUUCCAAGUUUUACUCUUUUUAAAAAAAUAAUAUAUCUUUAUUAAAACUGUAAUGAUAUAAACUUUUAAAUAAAUGGUAACUUAAGCAGAAUUAUAGCUUAUUCAUAUUUAUAGAAGCACAACUAGUUAUUUUGAUAAUUGAGUUCAAUUUGAAUGUAAUAACACAUUUUAAAGUACUUUCUGGGAGUUCCUUUGUGGGGUAGGAAGCUAAGGAUCCAGCAUUGUCACUGCAGUGGCUCAGGUUACUGCUCUGCUAAGGGUUCAACCCCUGGCCUGGGAACUUCCACAUGCCACAGGCACAGCCAAAAAAAUUUUUUUAAAUAGAAACAAAACAUAAAAUAAAAUACUUUCCAAAUGUUUCAAGACUUUUUUUGCAAGUAUAUUUAUGUCAAGUAAUCUUAAGCUUUUUUAUAUUAAUUCUGUUCAAUCCUACUAGGUUCUGUAUACUUUGGAUACAAAGUCCAAUUUAUAGUUUAAAAUAUGCCUCAGUAAUUAAAAUGCAAGGCUCUGAUUUAAACUCCUUAAUAUUGGGAUGCCAACCAAAAAAGGUAGCUGCCAAGUUCAUUUUAAUUAUUGCCCAUGAUCCUGUUAGCAUGUCAUCACUGACUCUGAAAUUAACACUUCAAUUAAAAGAAAGAAAGAUGUGUUGUUGUUGUUUUUUUCUCUUAAGGAAAGAGAAUUGUUUAAAUUAAGCUAGGUAGGAAGUUUAGACUUUAUUAGCAUUGUCUCAUACAUCUUAUCUUAGGAGACCUAGAACUGUCAGGGGAUACAAAACGGUUUACCAUGAAGCCUGGUCAUAACCUUCCCCUUGGGGGCCUAUAGGUGUGGGAUGUGGAAUACUAGUGGUUUGCUCAGGACUGUCCCUGUUCACACCUGUGUUCUGGAGUAAUUCACAACAUCCCCUUUCACUCUUGAAAGUGCCCCUCUAGACAACACCUUAUGUAUUCACCCUAAAGCUCUGCCCUAGCUGAGUCUUUUGAACUCAUGAUUUUUUUUUCAACCACUUCUCUUUGGUUUGGACCAGAGACCUUCUCAUAUUCCAAGGAAUUGUGGUUGUGGAAGGUGACGGUAUAAAGUCUUCAUCAGAUGUGGCUGGCUGGAUAAAGCUCUCUGGCACCAAGUUGUGUUAAUCAUUGUGAUAUUAAAUAAGGAUAACAGGCCAUCUUAAAAUCAGUGCCUCACAUUAGUUGAGCUUUAAAAUACAGUGAUGUUUAUAUUUGUCUAGGCUGGCUGCUUCUGUUUUGUUACAACACAGUACUGCGCACACCACAGUUGGAAAUUUAAUGCUAAGCACAAAGUAUUUGAACAUAGUAGGUUCUGAAUAAAUUAUUUCCCUUCUUCCUUCCUUCCCUCUUCCUUCUGAAAUCUAUGGAUUGAACUUUCCCACCCCUAGAAGAACAGUUCAGACGGUAUAUCCCGAGUCACUAGUGUUAUCUUCCUGUAUCAGCGAAUUUACUCUGUGUGGCCUCCCAUCACCCUGAACAACUUCUAUAAGUUGCAGAACACAAUUUCUUUUCAUUAAAAUUCUGACAAGUGUUGCCAGGGCUCCUGUCUGGGGAGAUUUUUCUCACACGCUGUGAGGUGUGUUGCACUGAGGGGAAAGUUGCAUCUACAUUAGUUACCCAUGACUUAGUCCAGGUGCCGCCUUCUAAGUUAGGAAGAGAGGGGACAACCUAGCACAAAGUGCCCUGGUGACACAUUUGGUUGGUGAGGGAGAAGAAUUCUGAAACCGAAAGGGUUUUCUUUUUUUUUUUUAACAUAUAUAUGACUGGCACAAUAGUGUUAAGCCAAGGCAAGCAGGUGCUGGGUAUGUGCUAAACUAUUUAAUGGUUUUCAGAGUACUGGAGGGCUAUUUUUAAGUGUUUCUAUAUUAUUCUCAACCAAGCUGCUGGAUGAAAAGUACAAAGGGCUAAAAAUAUUUACGGUUUCAGUAAUGUCUUUUAAAGGAAACCAUCCUGUGUGAUUUUUUUUCCCCUCAUUGGUAGGAAAAGAAUAUUAUGGUUUAGAAAUGGUCACAAGUGGUUUGUCCAACACUAAGGUUUUUAGGAAGAAUAACUAUCAAAGAGGCAUUAAGUUGGGUUAGAAAUCAUCAAGAGUUUUGAAGACCAAAUUGAAGAGUGAAAACAGGUGAUUACAACUUCUUUGACUGUUAUAGUCCUGUGACUACUCUUUUCAUACUGUUACCAGUUGUUCCCAUUGUAAACAGAAUCACUUAAUGUCAAAACUUUUUAUAGGUAAGGAGACAUAUUAACUUGUUAGGAGACAAGUUAGGCAUGUACCUCAGCUCCAUCCCUUGGAUAUGUGGUCUUGAGCAAGUUAUUUUUUCACUCUGUGCCUCAGUGUACCCAUCUGUAAAAGGGGGAUAAUAAUAGUGCCUGCCUCCUACAAUGGUUGUGAGGAUUCAAGGAGAUGAUACCCCACUGGGAGUGGAAUCUAGUAUGUAGUAAGUGCUCAGUAAAUGUUGGCCAUGUGUGUUUUUGACCUUUUAAGAAUUUAUUUUAUUUUAGUUUUUUAAUUAUGAUAAGAAAUACGUAACAUCAAAUUUACUCCCUUGACCAUUUUUUUAAGUGUACAGUUCAGUGGUGUUAACUCUAUUUACAUAGUUGUGUAACAGGUUUCUGGAACUUUUUCAUCUUGCAAAACGGAAAUGUUCAUUAUUUUUUAAAAGCUCAUUUUCCUUUAGAGUCAGUUCCACAGCUCUAUGAGCCUAACAUGAGAAUGCAGACUCCACUGGGGUAGGUGAUUAGGCUAUUCUAUUUCCUGUUGUAUCACAGGUGCCAAGAGCAGUGCCUAGCUCAGAAGUUAAUAUUUGCCAAGUGAAUGGGUGGGUGGGUGGAUGGACCGAUGGAUGGGCAACAGUGAGGCUUCAUUCAGCAUAUUAGAUGUGUUUUUGAAAAAUGAUCUCUUAAACAGUAAACCCAUUUUUUUUUUGUCUUUUUUUUUUGCCAUUUCUUGGGCCGCUGCCGUGGCAUAUGGCGGUUCCCAGGCUAGGAGUCAAAUCGGAGCUGUAGCCACCAGCCUAUGCCAGAGCCAUAGCAACUCGGGAUCCGAGCCUCGUCUGCAACCUUCACCACAGCUCACGGCAACGCCAGAUCAUUAACCCACUGAGCAAGGGCAGGGACCGAACCCGCAACCUCAUGGUUUCUAGUCGGAUUCGUUAACCACUGCGCCACAACGGGAACUCCAGUAAACCCAUUUUUAUCAGUAAUCUUAAAUACAUGUGGAAAACUGACUGCCUUCAUAAGGAAGUGAUUUUUACAACAAAUAACUAUCUCUUAAUUAUUUAUAAAUGCUGAUUUGGGUGGGUCAGCUUUUCUUUCCUCCUUCCUUCCUCCCUCUCUUCCUUCCUUCAUUCUCUCCUUUCUUCCUUCUUUCUUUUUUUUCCUGACCACACUCGUGGCCUAUGGACGUUCCCAGCCAGGGAUCGAAUCCAGCCUCAGCUGUGACCUGUGCUGGAUCCUUUUUAACCCACUGCUCUGGACUGCGAUAGAACCCACACCUGUGGAGUGACCCGAACCACUGCAGUCAGAUUCUUAACCCACCGUGCCACAGCGGGAACUCCAGGUUAGCUUUUCUUAAACUGUAAAAAAGUAGUUUACUGGGUGGAGACAUGGCAAAAGAAAAGAGGUUAUGUUAAAUAAUUUGCUUAAAAUUUGAGCAAGAUUGACUUUAAGUUCAAGCUUUUUCUUUUUUUUUUUAAAUAUGUACUUUCAUUCAGAUCUGUCCAUCAGACCUACUUUUCCUUAGGCAUAUGUGAAUCAUCUUGUUCUUUCUUUUAGAAUCAAAAGUUCAGGCCUUGAUCAGUAUUUACCAAAACUGGUGGAACACUCCCUUUCCACUGAGCACAUCUUGCUUCACCUUUUUUUUUUUUUUUUGCAUCUUUUAAAAGAAUGUCAGCUGAACAUCCUCUAGAAAUGGCCCAAACUCGGUGAGUGGGAGGAAAGGAAGGAAGAACAUGUCUCUCACUUAAAACUUACCACCUAUGGAAUAAAUUAUAGUCUUAUUCUGUGGGCUUGCCCUUAAAUUAUCUACUCUGCUGGGAAAAGAGUUAAUUCUUGAUAGAGUUGAUUUGCUUUGGGGGUAAACUAGUUAGUGUUCCUUUUUAUUGCCCAACCUUAGAUUUUGCUUUUAUAACCUAUUAAAAUGUUGUUUGGUAUUUAAGUAUUACUCUUAGGUAUAGUAGGCACAAACUAUGGCUUACACAGAGGUUCAGUGCCUCCUUCCAGGAAGCCAGGACCUAAAUUGCCACAGACUUUGCAGUCCCAGUAGGACAAUAAUAGGGAGGCUUGUUACCUGCCCAGGUUUUCGCUGGGGCCCAGCACAGCACAGCACCUGACUGUAACCAAAGCAAGAGUGCAUCUUUCCUUUCAGCUGCUACUUGGCACACCCUGUCUCUGUUCCCAUGGCAGAGAUGGUCGCCCAUCUUCCAAAAGGUGGCCUCUUGAGUCAUUUCCAUUAUGACUCUGACUUGUCUUCUGAAAAGUGACACAGGAAAGUGCUCUUACGUAGUCACUCUUUCCCAUGCCUCUGAAUCAGAGACCAUAAACCUUCUGAAAGAUCUCCAUUGUUUCUCUGAGCUAUUAAAACUUUUUGUAUUUGGGAGCUCCUGUUGUAGCUCAGCAGUAACGAACCUGACUGGUAUCCAUGAGGACGUGGGUUCGAUCCCUGGCCUCGCUCACUGGGUUAAGGAUAUGGCGUUGUUGUGAGCUGUGGUGUAAGUUGAAGAUGCGUCUCAGAUCCCGCAUUGUUGUGGCUGUGGUGUGGGCUGGCAGCUGCAGCUCUGAUUUGACCCCAUAGCCUGGGAACUUCCAUAUGCCUCAGGUGUGACC
This 5019-nucleotide long non-coding RNA is filed under the name Sus scrofa (pig). RNAcentral's name for it is "lncRNA (ENSSSCG00030015724.1)". The record is from RNAcentral. Lineage: Eukaryota; Metazoa; Chordata; Mammalia; Artiodactyla; Suidae.